Brassica rapa (field mustard) is the source of this 4410-nucleotide long non-coding RNA. RefSeq lists it as uncharacterized. NCBI's taxonomy places the organism in Eukaryota, Viridiplantae, Streptophyta, Magnoliopsida, Brassicales, Brassicaceae. The record is from RefSeq and is a predicted model, not a curated record.
CAACCUUGGGAUUCAUAGACACAACGUUUGAAAUAUUGAUACUAAAUAUCUUUGACAGUAACAAAAGCAAGAGGUUAAUCACUUAAACAUCAUACGAAGAACAUGAUACUAAAUAUCUUUGACAGCAACAAAAGCGAGAGGAAACAUGCGUCUUGCCGUUCGCUUUAACCACGGCGGAUUGAACGGGAUCUAUGAAAAGGCAUCUUCGUAUAAAUAGGGAUGAAACAAAGAAAACGAAACAAAACUAUCAAGGGAUGAUUGAAACAAAGAAAACGAAGCAAAAUAUUGACAUGCUUAAAGUUUAUCAUAAAGGAGAAAUUGAUUGAAGUAAAGCAUAGAUCUGAACUCAUUCUUCAAGUUUUUCAAUCGGAGAAAACGAAAGGGCAUAGAAGAAGAUGCCGAGUUCGUUUGUUAAUUUGGAAAAAAAGAAUCAGGUCCAAACGUGAAUAGCAGAAGCAGGACGAAGCCCACAUGUUGAGGUCCAUCUGAUGUGUAAAAAAAAAAGAAUAUGAUUGGUUGAUUAUUUUGUAAUACGUGGCAUAGCUAUAUGAUGAGUAUAUCUUCCUUUUAGUAUAGUAUAAAUUUACAUAUAAUUUUACAUUGACUAAUUAUAUUUUGUAUUUUAGACCGACAUGGAUAUCAUAUAAACUAAUUCCAUAUUUAUAAACGAUUUAGACUUGUAUUUAUAUGUAAAUAUUAUACAAUUAAUCUAUUCAUAGAUUAUUUUAACUUAUAUUUAAUAGUAUAUAAACUGAUUAUUUGAUGUUUAUUAUUUUAACUUAUAUUUAGUAGUAUAUAAAUUGAUUAUUUGAUGUUUUAUUACUUUAACUGUAUUACUAAUAGAUAAUAUGAAAUAUUUAAUGUGUUAAGGUUUAAAACAAUAUUAUCUUAUAAGCUAGCGUGGGCAUUAUGUGUAUCAAUUCGGUUCGGUUUGGGUAUUUUGAAUAUCAAGUAAUUCGGGUAGGAGGAUAGAGGAUCCAUUUAUUAUUUAACAAUUUUUUGUUUGGGUUCGGUUCGGAUAGCUUUGGGUUUGGUUCAGAUUGAUUCCGAUAGUAAAAUUAGGAACCAAAAAAUACCCGAAAUGUUUUGGUCCUCAUUCGGUUUCGGCUCUGGUUCGCUAUUUCAAGUAGUGUAGGUUAAAUAACAUGUAUUUUAAAUAAAAUAACGAAUUAUUAGGAUGAUUUAGAUUAAAAAAUCUGAUAUUUUAGUUACUUUGGAUAAAAAUAUCUGGAUAGUUUCGGAUACGUUCAGAUAGUUCAGAUACUUUACAAUAAUUUAGUCUUUUUCAAAUAUUUUAAAUAUAUUUUUUAAGUAUAUAUAUAUAUAUAUAUAUUUAGCUAUGCUAUAUGUAUAUAUAUAAUUAAUAUUUUUUUAUUUGGGUACCCCUUCGGCUCGGUUCGGUGAUUUUUAAUAUAUAAAUUUUGAAACCAAUUCAUUAAUUAAGAGUUUGGUCCAGUUUCAGAUUCAGGUAUUUUGGUCGGUUCUUCGGUUAUGAUCUUUUUGUCUAAAGCUUUUAUAAAGCCAUAGUAAAUGAAUAAUAUACUUCCAAAUCUAAUAUUAAAAAUAUAUACAAACCACUUUACUGAAUUAAGAUCAUAAGAAAUAGAAAACUCUGAGUUGUAUUGUGUUAAACAUAAAAUACAUUACGAUAACAUAUUUAAAAUCCACUGGUGAUCUCAAAGAUGCAUUCAAUAUCUUUGAAAAUAUUCACUUUCAUGAUAUAGUACGUGUAUAUUUUCCUGACGUAAAAUAGGAAGUCAGUUCAAAUAUAAUUAAUGUUGCCGAUUUUUAUAGUUGAUAAUCAAUUUAGGAAAUGUAUUAAAAACAGGAAAAAACAAAAUAAUAAAAGCUAAGUUUAUUAAUUAAUUUGAUGGCAUUAGAUUGUAAAUAUUUUGCAAAUCUAAAGGUUCAUUUUAAAGUGUACUUCUAUUUUAAUAAGAUAUACUAUAUUUUGAUAUGGACUUUCAAAGCGCGGGAUAACUUUUCGGUUAAAAUUAUUUAUGAAAUGAAAAAUGUAACCCUUUGAAUUUUAAGAUUUGAGUUUGACGUCUAUAAUUGAGAAAUUAUUUGAUUUCAACGUCUCAUAUUUAAUUCAGUUCAUUAUUUUAAAUUUUGUAAAAAAAACUAAAUAUAUAUUAAAUAUAUAUUAUCCACAAAUCUCGUAUCUGUUAUAUACUUCUAAAAAAUAUAGUAGAUAAUAAAUAUGACUUACAUUCUCAUCUACAAAAAUAAUCACUAAAUUUUGCUACUUUAAAAUUUUGAUAACAUAGUGAAGUGUCAUUUUCAGUUUUGUUAUAGAUGUUAAGAGUAGCUUUUCAAUCUUAAAUUUUUGAACAUAAGCUGAAUACUUAAUUAUAGAUUUCAAAUAUAUUUGAGAUUGAUUUUGUAAAUAAUAAAUUUUGAAACAAACUACAAAUUUACAUCUACAAGUAUGUAAGAUGUACAAAAUCUCUUCACAACUGUCACCUAACACAAGCAAAAGACUAAGCUUUGAAUCAACCUAUACCACAAGUGUCACUUAACACAAGCAAAAGACUAAGCUUUGAAUCAACCUAUACUAACAACAUCACAAAGUUCGGUCUUAUAAAUCACUAUCCCUUCCUUAAACUCCACUGUCGUAAAAGAUUCUCGCAUAAAAUUAAGUUACCACCACAUUCACUCUGGCCACUUCUAAACAUACCGGCAAGUUUUCAUUGAGGACUUCCAGUAGAAUAUAUAUUAAGCAACAGAUAUUUUAUAUUCCAGUAGAAUAGGAGAAUUUUAGUUAUUAGAAUUUUUAAUUUUUUUUUUGUUUUUGGAAUAUUCUUUAAAUAGAGGAGAGAAUAGUAUAUAUGGAAAUAAGUGUGUUUAAUUUUUGGUCAAAAUUAAUUUUUUUAAAAUCUAAAUAAGAAAAUGGAAUAUCAUUGUAAAUAACUCCAAAAACCAAGAGCAGAAUCCUAGUAUAUAUUGAUAGAUUACUAGCAUAUCUAGGUGUGUAUGGGGAUUUCUCUUUGGGAAGAAAGAAAGACACAGUUAUCCGACAUUUUUUUGGACAGAACUUGGGUUCACCCCCUAAAGUGAAUUAUACAAUUCACCUCACUUCCCUAAACCAAUCAAACUGCCACAUAAGAUUAAUGAAAAAAUGUAUUAUUUUUUUUUAAUAAAUGAAAAAUAGCUUUGUAAAAAAAAGGAAUUAACGUUGUUACGGCUCCGUUAAGAGUUUUGAUCUGAUUUCUCCUUCUUCUAUCUUCGACGUCUUUUUCUUUUUCAUCCCAGGAACACCCAAAUAAUUCACCAAGUAACUUGCAGGUUUGAGCUACUUCAUCACUCAAUUAACAUAAUUAUCCCCAAGUUUAAUUAUUGUUUGUUAUAUAUAUAUAUCUCUUGAUCGUGUAAUCAAAAUUCAUAACUAGAGUUACUAGAUCUUUAAUCAUGUCUAUGUAUGAUCAUAUUUGAUUUUCUUUUAGAUAUUCUGAUUAUCACGUUUAUAUAUGAACAAGCAAUAGGGAUAUUGAGUCAAUUAGGUUAUUCUAUGCUCUGGACGUGGCUCCUCCUUACCUAGACCUUCGCCAACUUUCUGAACAAAUUGCACGUGCAUCAUACCAGUGUUUUGAUAAGUAGGAUUAACCACUUUAAGUUCAGAAAUCACAUUAUCAAGUGUAGGACUUUCUUGCGCAGCAAGGUUGGGUUCUUGUUCCUUGAUUUCCAUGUUAGUACCUGAAACAUUUCCAACCUUUUGGGCACUAGACAAGUGUGUUAAGACAGUCAUGGUAUUACUAGAAACAGAAUUAGACCCAGCUUUAAUCAAGUUGAUAAGAUCAUCAAACUUUUUAUCUAUUCUAGCGAAGGAAUUAUCCAAGCUCAACUACUCUCGGCCAGCCUCUUCAUCAUAUUUGUUUCUUUUGUUUACUCACUCUUAGUCUCUAUUUUUGUUCUCACACUCACGCUUCUUCUUCACUCUUCUGUUUCUUGCGGCUCAAGGCUCUUCUUCUUCUUCCUUCUUUGUAUUUUCUUCUCUGCUACUCUCCUUUGUAGCUUGUUCUCUGCUACUCUCGUUUGUUCUCUUCUUGGGCACUUCUUCUUAGAUCCAAUUUGUUUGUAGAUUUAAUCAGAGGUUCAACUCCAAAAAAAACUUACUUUUAAAUCAAUGCUCUUCCUCUCCAUCUUCUUCUUCCUCUUGUUUGAUACUUUCUCAGUACAAAAUCAGUGUUCGUUCAAGCCUUUGAGGAUGUUCAAAUAGCACGAAGAAGAAGAAAAUUGAUGGAUGAACAUGGCUUUAUUUGGCUUGGAGAAGGUUAAACUGAAAUAGGAUUUUGAAAGCAUAGAUUGGAGAUCCGAACUUGACAAACCCUUGUAUUAUUUUUUGUGAAAGCUAUUAGAACGUUCAAGCAGUUAACAAGAAGAAGCCGUCUACGGCAACAGCGUUAGUUU